GCUACCAUGCAGUCGAGCGGUAGCACAGGGAGCUUGCUCCUGGGUGACAAGCGGCGGACGGGUGAGUAAUGUCUGGGAAACUGCCUGAUGGAGGGGGAUAACUACUGGAAACGGUAGCUAAUACCGCAUAACGUCGCACGACCAAAGAGGGGGACCUUCGGGCCUCUUGCCAUCAGAUGUGCCCAGAUGGGAUUAGCUAGUAGGUGGGGUAAUGGCUCACCUAGGCGACAAUCCCUAGCUGGUCUGAGAGGAUGACCAGCCACACUGGAACUGAGACACGGUCCACACUCCUACGGGAGGCAGCAGUGGGGAAUAUUGCACAAUGGGCGCAAGCCUGAUGCACCCAUGCCGCGUGUAUGAAAAAAGCCUUCGGGUUGUAAAGUACUUUCACCGAGGAGGAAGGCAUUGUGGUUAAUAACCCCAGUGAUUGACGUUACUCUCACAAAAAACACCGGCUAACUCCGUGCCACCAGCCGCGGUAAUACGGAGGGUGCAAGCGUUAAUCGGAAUUACUGGGCGUAAAGCGCACGCACGCGGUCUGUCAAGUCGGAUGUGAAAUCCCCGGGCUCAACCUGGGAACUGCAUUCUAAACUGGCAGGCUAUAGUCUUGUAUAGGGGGGUAGAAUUCCAGGUGUAUCGGUGAAAUGCGUAUAGAUCUGGAGGAAUACCGGUGGCGAAAGCGGCCCCCUGGACAAAGACUGACGCUCACGUGCGAAAGCGUGGGGAGCAAACAGGAUUAUAUACCCUGGUAGUCCACGCCCUAUACGAUGUCUACUUGUAGGUUGUUCCCUUGAGGAGUGGCUUCCCGAGCUAACGCGUUAAGUCUACCGCCUGGGGAGUACAGCCGCACGUG
This 853-nucleotide ribosomal RNA is filed under the name Enterobacter sp. E6-PCAi-T2P21. RNAcentral describes it as "bacterial SSU rRNA". It matches the Rfam family "Bacterial small subunit ribosomal RNA", at positions 48 to 894 of the family's 1533-position model. The record is from RNAcentral. Lineage: Bacteria; Pseudomonadati; Pseudomonadota; Gammaproteobacteria; Enterobacterales; Enterobacteriaceae.